GAUCAUUUGCAAAUGUGAGUCACGGUGCCGGAGUAUUUUGCUUAAUAUUUUUUACGCAAUAAACUAAACCCAAUCUUGUGAUGAGAGUGUCAUUGCAAGCAGCUUAAAUAGUAUAACAAUGAAAAAUGAGGUGCAGGGGGCGAUAUGUUCAUAUGGGCAUGAAUCGAGGCGCCAGGGCAUUUUGCUUGAUAUUAGAACUAGAAGCAAAGGUUAGGUGCGCGCAUAAAGAAACAAAUGACGGAAGGGGAGAGUGA
This 254-nucleotide long non-coding RNA is filed under the name Carica papaya (papaya). RNAcentral describes it as "long non-coding RNA (CPAP_LNC001760)". The record is from RNAcentral. Lineage: Eukaryota; Viridiplantae; Streptophyta; Magnoliopsida; Brassicales; Caricaceae.